Molecule: non-coding RNA, 81 nt
Organism: Poecilia formosa (Amazon molly)
Lineage: Eukaryota; Metazoa; Chordata; Actinopteri; Cyprinodontiformes; Poeciliidae
Source: Rfam
GUGGGAUGAGGUAGUAGGUUGUAUAGUUUUAGGGUCACACCCGCACUGGGAGAUAACUAUUCAACCUGCUGUCUUUCUCAA